GAAUUUUGGACAAUGGGGGCAACCCUGAUCCAGCAAUGCCGCGUGUGUGAAGAAGGCCUUCGGGUUGUAAAGCACUUUUGUUCGGGAAGAAAUCCUUUUGGCUAAUAUCCGGAAGGGAUGACGGUACCGGAAGAAUAAGCACCGGCUAACUACGUGCCAGCAGCCGCGGUAAUACGUAGGGUGCGAGCGUUAAUCGGAAUUACUGGGCGUAAAGCGUGCGCAGGCGGUUGUGCAAGACAGAUGUGAAAUCCCCGGGCUUAACCUGGGAACUGCAUUUGUGACUGCACGGCUAGAGUGUGUCAGAGGGGGGUAGAAUUCCACGUGUAGCAGUGAAAUGCGUAGAUAUGUGGAGGAAUACCGAUGGCGAAGGCAGCCCCCUGGGAUAACACUGACGCUCAUGCACGAAAGCGUGGGGAGCAAACAGG
Molecule: ribosomal RNA, 425 nt
Filed under: uncultured bacterium
Lineage: Bacteria
Description: bacterial SSU rRNA
Rfam family: Bacterial small subunit ribosomal RNA
Source: RNAcentral